AGUGAACGCUGGCGGCGUGCCUAAUACAUGCAAGUCGAACGGAGAUUAAGUAGCUUGCUAUUUAAUCUUAGUGGCGCACGGGUGAGUAAUAUAUAGCUAACUUGCCCAUUACUAAGGGACAACAGUUGGAAACGACUGCUAAUACCUUAUACUCCGUAUCUAUAUAAGUAGAUACGGGAAAGUUUUUCGGUAAUGGAUAGGGCUAUAUCGUAUCAGCUAGUUGGUAAGGUAAUGGCUUACCAAGGCUAUGACGCGUAACUGGUCUGAGAGGAUGAUCAGUCACACUGGAACUGAGACACGGUCCAGACUCCUACGGGAGGCAGCAGUAGGGAAUAUUGCUCAAUGGGGGAAACACUGAAGCAGCAACGCCGCGUGGAGGAUGACACUUUUCGGAGCGUAAACUCCUUUUCUUGGGAAAGAAUUAUGACGGUACCCAAGGAAUAAGCACCGGCUAACUCCGUG
This 462-nucleotide ribosomal RNA is filed under the name uncultured bacterium. RNAcentral's name for it is "partial 16S ribosomal RNA". It matches the Rfam family "Bacterial small subunit ribosomal RNA", at positions 29 to 507 of the family's 1533-position model. The record is from RNAcentral.